AUGUUAAGCUCGUCAAGCUCGUCGAGCCUUAGUGUAUGCUCCCAAUGGUUUGUCAUUGUGUUACUCGGAUAGUCCCCAGAGUAAAUGUCAGGGGACUAUCCGAGUAACAAAAUGACAAACCAUAGGGAGCAUACCUGCUAUUACCAAAAGGUGGGGACUAUUACUAAACGUGAAAAAACGUGAAACCACAAGGACCAUCCGGGCAAUUAACUCUUAACUAAUAUUUAAUAACAUUACCCCUUAUUUAAAAUUUUCUAGUAAACGAGCCGAGCCGAGCAUAUUUAAACUUGGUUACAGGCCGAACCGAACCUAAAAAUAAGUUUGUUUAGUAAACAAGCCCGAGCUACACUUAACGAGCUCGUGAGCCUAAACGAGUCUAUUAUUUUUAUUUAAUAUAUUAAUUUUAAUUAAUAGAUAAUAAACGAGCCGAACUCGAGCUUUGAAAACAAAGCUCGAACGAGCCAAGAUCGAGCUCGAGUCUGGUCGAGCUCGGGCUAGACUCUAUAUGCAAGAUCAAGAUGCUUUACUAACCUUGAGUAUUGUCUUCGCUUAGGUGGUGGAGAGUACUCACGGCCACGCGAUGGUGACCUGGCAUAGCGAGGAGGUGGUGAGCGGGAGUAACGACGAGGCGGUGACCGCCUACGAUCACUAAAUCUGCUGCCGCCACCCCUACAAUAACAUGAGCCGUAUAUAUUAACUAUUUUUUUGUGAAAAAACCAAUAUUAAACAGCAAAUAAUAAAAUUUACCUCCGUUCUCUAAAUCUCAUAUCAUCUGGUUUCUUCCUAUUCUCCUCAGCGAAAAUGAUAGAGAUCGCAUACGUAUUAGUAUAUUGUAAUAGUGUAAGGGGUAUUAGUGUAAUUACUUUUCUAUAAAUAAGGCAUUAGCCAUUAGUGAAGGAUAGGAAGAGAAUUAGUUGGUGAUUAGGCUCAUUGCCUUGUGCAUGAGAAGGGCUUAGCCCUGGACCACUUUGGUGGCUAGUAUUUGUAUUAUCUUCUUCAGUUUAUCAAAUAUAGUUACAGAUUUACUUUCAUCAUCUCCAUUAAAUCCUGUUUCCUAUCAGAAAACAACCGUCAUUUGCCUGCCUUGAAGAACCUGACCAUCCAUCUGGUAUUUUGCUUCUGCGGCAUCGGCAGGGUCUACAAACUGAACAAAACCAAAUCCACGCGGUUCUCUGCCACAUAUUAAAAAAUAAAAUAAAUAAAAAUUAAUAAAAAAAAGAGUUGUAUGUAAAAUACAAAGAACCAAAAAACAGGUUAAAAAUUUUGACAAAGUAAAUUCAGUACAGUUUUUGUAUAGAAUUCAGAACCAAAGAGUUUUUACUGUUUGCGUAAAAGGACGAGUUACGAACUUCUCCUUGUUAUCGGUAUAAAUUGUGACUGCUGACCUUAAAUUUGUAGGUAUAAAUAUGAGUUGAAAAUCUUCAAGACUUGAGAUCUUGAAAUCUUCAAUAUCAUACACACCACCUUCAACGAAACUCUAUGAAUUCAAUAUACCAACAAAACUUUUACUUCUACACAAACAUAGUUGUCGAUAUCGAAUAGCGACAAGGCACCUAUUGGCUACGUAGCGAAUAGCGAUAAAAUAGCGACGACUAUUUUAUAAAUAGCGAUUACACUAGAAAAGGAAUUUUGAAAAUUUUUAUAUGUAUAUUACAUCAAAAUACCCUUGUAUAUAUGCUAUUUUACAUGUAUAUUUAACAAAAACCUAUAAAUCCAGCUAUUUUAUAGCUAUAUCUAAUUGAUAUUAACAUCAAAAAAAAAAAAACUAACUGUCGCUAAGUUCGCUAUUGAUCGCUAAGACCCAUAUAGCGACACUUGGUUGCAUGACUACAUAGCGCGCUAUAGCGGUCGCUAUAGCCGCUAUUAACAACUAUGUACACAAAUAAAUCUCAACAACCUUUACUUAAAAAACAAUUUGAGGUAACAUAAAAAAAUUGCCAGCCGCCUAUAGAACAGCAUCUAUACUAAUAGGCUUUACAAACAAGGGGGAUUGUAAAAACAGCAUUGAC
This 2009-nucleotide long non-coding RNA is filed under the name Helianthus annuus (common sunflower). RNAcentral describes it as "hypothetical non coding rna". Lineage: Eukaryota; Viridiplantae; Streptophyta; Magnoliopsida; Asterales; Asteraceae. The record is from RNAcentral.